AGAGUUUGAUUCUGGCUCAGAACGAACGCUGGCGGCGUGCUUAACACAUGCAAGUCGAACGCGAAAGGGACUUCSGUCCUGAKUAAAGUGGCGCACGGGUGAGUAACGCGUAGAUAACCUGUCUUCGAGUCUGGAAUAAUACACCGAAAGGGGUACUAAUACCGGAUAUUCUUGCAUUUCAUAAGGAGUGUAAGCAAAGGUGGCCUCUGUAUAUGCUACUGCUUGAUGAGGGGUCUGCGUACCAUUAGCUAGUAGGUGGGGUAAUGGCCCACCUAGGCUACGAUGGUUAGCGGGUCUGAGAGGAUGAUCCGCCACACUGGGACUGGAACACCGSUCAUACUCCU
RNAcentral lists this ribosomal RNA (344 nucleotides) under uncultured delta proteobacterium. RNAcentral's name for it is "bacterial SSU rRNA". It matches the Rfam family "Bacterial small subunit ribosomal RNA", at positions 8 to 340 of the family's 1533-position model. The record is from RNAcentral. Lineage: Bacteria; Deltaproteobacteria.